Molecule: ribosomal RNA, 477 nt
Filed under: uncultured bacterium
Lineage: Bacteria
Description: bacterial SSU rRNA
Rfam family: Bacterial small subunit ribosomal RNA
Source: RNAcentral
CUACGUGCCAGCAGCCGCGGUAAUACGUAGGUGGCAAGCGUUGUCCGGAAUUAUUGGGCGUAAAGCGCGCGCAGGCGGAUUGGUCAGUCUGUCUUAAAAGUUCGGGGCUUAACCCCGUGAUGGGAUGGAAACUGCCAAUCUAGAGUAUCGGAGAGGAAAGUGGAAUUCCUAGUGUAGCGGUGAAAUGCGUAGAUAUUAGGAAGAACACCAGUGGCGAAGGCGACUUUCUGGACGAAAACUGACGCUGAGGCGCGAAAGCCAGGGGAGCGAACGGGAUUAGAUACCCCGGUAGUCCUGGCCGUAAACGAUGGGUACUAGGUGUAGGAGGUAUCGACCCCUUCCGUGCCGGAGUUAACGCAAUAAGUACCCCGCCUGGGGAGUACGACCGCAAGGUUGAAACUCAAAGGAAUUGACGGGGGCCCGCACAAGCGGUGGAGUAUGUGGUUUAAUUCGACGCAACGCGAAGAACCUUACCAG